AGCAAUGCCGCGUGAGCGAUGACGGCCUUCGGGUUGUAAAGCUCUGUUGUAAGGGAAGAAAAAAUAGAGUAGGAAAUGCCUCUAUAUUGACGGUACCUUACCAGAAAGCCACGGCUAACUAUGUGCCAGCAGCCGCGGUAAUACAUAGGUGGCAAGCGUUAUCCGGAUUUAUUGGGCGUAUAGGGUGCGUAGGCGGUUUUGCAAGUUUGAGGUUAAAGCCCGGAGCUCAACUCCGGUUCGUCUUGAAAACUGCAUUACUAUAAUGCAAGACAGGUAAGCGGAAUUCCAUGUGUAGCGGUGAAAUGCGUAGAUAUAUGGAAGAACACCUGUGGCGAAAGCGGCUUACUGGCUUGUUAUUGACGCUGAGGCACGAAAGCGUGGGGAGCAAAUAGGAUUAGAUACCCUAGUAGUCCACGCCGUAAACGAUGAGUAUUAGGUGUUGGCAUUGUCUCAGCGCCGCAGCUAACGCAUUAAGUACUCCGCCUGAGUAGUAUGCUCGCAAGAGUGAAACUCAAAGGAAUUGACGG
This 527-nucleotide ribosomal RNA is filed under the name Mycoplasma cottewii. RNAcentral's name for it is "bacterial SSU rRNA". It matches the Rfam family "Bacterial small subunit ribosomal RNA", at positions 390 to 916 of the family's 1533-position model. Lineage: Bacteria; Bacillati; Mycoplasmatota; Mollicutes; Mycoplasmatales; Mycoplasmataceae. The record is from RNAcentral.